Chlorocebus sabaeus (green monkey) is the source of this 854-nucleotide non-coding RNA. NCBI's taxonomy places the organism in Eukaryota, Metazoa, Chordata, Mammalia, Primates, Cercopithecidae. The record is from RefSeq and is a predicted model, not a curated record.
UCGGCUCUCUGAUCAGCACCAUGGCGGUUGGCAAGAACAAGCGCCUUACGAAAGGCAGCAAAAAGGGAGCCAAGAAGAAAGUGGUUGAUUCAUUUUCUAAGAAAGAUUGGUAUGAUAUGAAAGCAUCUGCUAUGUUCAAUAUAAGAAAUAUUGGAAAGACGCUCGUCACCAGGACCCAAAGAACCAAAAUUGCAUCUGAUGGUCUCAAGGGUCGUGUGCUUGAAGUGAGUCUUGCUGAUUUGCAGAAUGAUGAAGUUGCAUUUAGAAAAUUCAAGCCGAUUACUGAAGAUGUUCAGGGCAAAAACUGCCUAACUUCCAUGGCAUGGAUCUUACCCGUGACAAAAUGUGUUCCAUGGUCAAAAAGUGGCAGACAAUGAUUGAAGCUCAUGUUGAUGUCAAGACUACCGAUGGUUACUUGCUUCGUCUGUUCUGUGUUGGUUUUACUAAAAAACGCAACAAUCAGAUACGGAAGACCUCUUAUGCUCAGCACCAACAGGUCCGCCAAAUCCGGAAGAAGAUGAUGGAAAUCAUGACCCGAGAGAUGCAGACAAAUGACUUGAAAGAAGUGGUCAAUAAAUUGAUUCCAGACAGCAUUGGAAAAGACAUAGAAAAGGCUUGCCAAUCUAUUUAUCCUCUCUAUGAUGUCUUCGUUAGAAAAGUAAAAAUGCUGAAGAAGCCCAAGUUUGAAUUGGGAAAGCUCAUGGAGCUUCAUGGUGAAGGCAGUAGUUCUGGAAAAGCCACUGGGGACGAGACAGGUGCUAAAGUUGAACGAGCUGAUGAAUAUGAACCACCAGUCCAAGAAUCUGUUUAAAGUUCAGACUUCAGUUAGUGUCAAAUAAAAAGUGCUAUUUGUG